AAUAGAUACCCAGGUAGUCCACGCCGUAAACGAUGGAUGCUAGCUGUUAUGCGUAUCGACCCGUGUAGUAGCGAAGCUAACGCGUUAAGCAUCCCGCCUGGGGAGUACGAACGCAAGUUUAAAGCUCAAAGGAAUUGACGGGGACCCGCACAAGCGGUGGAGCGUGUUCUUUAAUUCGAGGCUAAGCGAAGAACCUUACCAGGGCUUGACAUCCUUGGAAUUUCUCCGAAAGGAGAGAGUACUUUAUUGGACCAAGUGACAGGUGCUGCAUGGCCGUCGUCAGCUCGUGUCGUGAGAUGUUUGGUUAAGUCCAUUAACGAGCGCAACCCUUAUGAAUAGUUGUAUUUUUCUAUUCAGACUGCCCCGGUAACGGGGAGGAAGGGGGGAUGAUGUCAGGUCAGUAUUGCCCUUACGCCCUGGGCUAGAAACGCGCUACAAUGGCCGGUACAAUGCGCUGCCAACCCGCGAGGGGAGCAAAUCGCAUCAAAGCCGGUCCCAGUUCGGAUAAGAGGCUGAAACUCGCCUCUUGAAGCCGGAAUCGCUAGU
Molecule: ribosomal RNA, 546 nt
Filed under: uncultured bacterium
Lineage: Bacteria
Description: bacterial SSU rRNA
Rfam family: Bacterial small subunit ribosomal RNA
Source: RNAcentral